CUUUCUCUCUCUUCACUUUAGUAGAGAACAGCAGUAACAAAUCGAGAUGCCUCUUUUAAAUACCACUCACACAUGAAAAUAUAAGACCUUCAAAUACCAUUCUCAACCAACAGCCUGAAACAAAUCUGACCACCACCAAGUCUCGGUGGCAACGGAGAACAGCAGCAGCAACACCGCCACCAUGGCGGCGACGGCGAAAAAACACCCCCUGUUUCCGGCGACACAAACACCCCUUGUUUCCGGGCACAAAACACCCCCUGUUUCCAGCGACAACCCACGGCGGCGACGACGACGAACAGAGAGACGGAGAAAAACAGAGAGAGAAAGAAGUAUCGGGGUUAUGGAGGGAGCCUGACGGCGGAUGCGCCGCCACUGAAGGCGGUGGCGGUGGGGGCUCACUGCGUAGGUCGCCGGCGCCGGUCAAAUUCGAGCCGACAGCCCGAUUUCUUUAGGAUUUCUCCGGUCAUGAUGUUCGAUGAGCGAUGAUGACGUUAAUGGUUAUGACUGUUGGCCGGCGUCGGUUACGUCACGGCAGGCCUGUUGGAUGGUCAACUGAAGUCAACCGCAGAUCGUUAGGGGUUAGGGUUCGUUGGUUCAGUUGUGUGUCAGGGGAUUAUUUUGGGUUUGCCCAGUUCAGUUUCGGCUCGGAUCUUGGUUCAUUUCCGGUUCGACAUAGGUCAGUUACGGUUCAGUCGGUUCAAGUUCGGUUCAACAAGAAAACAGGGCGGUGACACAGUUCAGUAGCGGGUGGGUUUUCGGCUCGUCGCGGUGCUACUCUGGUCAGUUUCGGGGUUUGGUUUGGGUCGAAACGAUACUUUAAUAACUUGUUACGUUUGGUAUUUUGAUAGAAAUUUUAUAUAUUAUGUUUAUAUUGUUGAAAA
This is a long non-coding RNA of Helianthus annuus (common sunflower), 881 nucleotides long. RefSeq lists it as uncharacterized. The record is from RefSeq and is a predicted model, not a curated record. The transcript is spliced from 2 exons. NCBI's taxonomy places the organism in Eukaryota, Viridiplantae, Streptophyta, Magnoliopsida, Asterales, Asteraceae.